UGUCCAGUAACUGUGAACAAGAGAGACAGUAAGACGGCCUCAUCCCCCUAUGCUAGCUCUAAACUUUCCUUUUACUUCUUUGCUCCCUUCCUCUACCUCGAUCUUUCUUGCGCUUCCUCUCCGUACCAUUUUGAGAGGUCGUCUAACUGUGGAAUAGAGGAAGAGAACGGCCUCAUCCCCCUACGCAAGCCCUACUCUUUCCUUUCACUGCUACACUCCCUUCCUCUACCUCCUCGAUCUUUUUUGCAUUUCCUCUCAGUACUAUUGGGGUUAACUGUGAACAAGAGGGACAGAAAGACGGCCCAUCCCCCUAUGCUAGCCGUAAACAUUCCCUUCCUCUAACUUCCUGUCCCUCGCUCUCUCACUCUCUACUAUUUCAAGAGGUCGUUUAAAUGUGAAAAAGAGAAGUAGGUCAGCCUCACCCUCCUUUCAUGCUCCCUUGGCACUCUUCUCCUUUCUCCUCUCUCUCUCUUCUUCACAUUGUCUAUCUUCAUCAUUGCUCAAGUCUUCCAUCAACAGCAGUAUUUCCUCAUCACUCCAUCUAACUAUCUAUAACUCUGUUCUUCCUUCUAUUCGCUUUUUUAUUCCAAACUUUCUCCUCCUCCCAAAUUCACUUGCACCAGUCUCCCAUAUCUCUCUCCUCCUCCUUCCCCUUCUAUUCACCCUGCUCUCCCCUACCCCUCUCUCUCUCUCUGUCUCCUAUCUAUUCCUUCCAGUUAUACAGAGGUUGAUAGACGCUCUGGGUAACCUAUAUGAAGAAGUCUUGUCUAUAUAUUUGUUACAGUGGCAAAACAUAAGUCAUAAGUUCCCUGGUUUGCAUGGAGUGAGGUUGAGUCUGCCCUUAACUUUUUCUCUGUUUUAUAUUCCUAUAUUGACGGAGACUAAUUUAUGGGUUCUAUUUGUCCUAGCUGUGUGUUGUUUGUGUUAGUUUUCAUAUAUAUUGAUAGUGAUAGAUAGAUAGAUAGAUGGAUAGAUAAAUAGAUAGACCCUUUCUUCUUCUACUUCCUCCUCCUCCUCCUCCUCCUACCUCUUGGACUCAGCAGUUCCUAAUACUGUUUCUUUUGAGAUGCUAAACUCCGCAGUCUUUGAUCUCUCUCUCUCUCUCUCUCUCUCUCUCUCUCUCUCUCUCUCUAAUUGGACUGACUACCUGAGGCCUCCACUCUAUAAAAUUUAGAAUAUUUAUAACCCUAAGAAAAGACAGACAGAAAGAUAUUAAAAUCCUCAUUAGCUAUCUUUUAUCUUUUCUUUUCUUUCUUUUCUGACGGGUAAAUUUCAAGAGACGUAUCAACAAAAUAUAUUAAUGGAAAAGCAAAGAGGAAAAAUUUUAGAGAGCUCAAGUGUGAAUUUUGAAAGACGUCCAAAUCGUAAUCUAUCAUAAAGAAGUUACGGAGAAAGAAAAAUUAUAUUGGAACUCGAGUGUCGCUCCUAUUUACAAAAACUAUAUAAAUCUCAGUUCUCUCUAAACUAUAUAAAUCUGAAUUCUCUCUAAACUAUAUAAAUCUGAAUUCUCUCUAAACUAUAUAAAUCUUAAUUCUCUUUAAACUAUAUAAAUCCUAAUUCUCUCUCAACUAUAUAAGUCUCAAUUCUCUCUAAACUAUAUAAAUUGCAGUUCUCCCAAAAUAAUAUACAUCAAUUCUCUCAACUAUAUAAAUCCUAAUCCUCCCUAAUCUAUAUAAAUCUAAAUUCUCUAUAUAAAUCAUGACCUUUUAAAACAAUUCUAACCUAACGAGGAAAAACGACAAAAAAAAAACGAAA
Molecule: long non-coding RNA, 1755 nt
Organism: Eriocheir sinensis (Chinese mitten crab)
Lineage: Eukaryota; Metazoa; Arthropoda; Malacostraca; Decapoda; Varunidae
Exons: 2
Source: RefSeq, a predicted model, not a curated record